Molecule: ribosomal RNA, 1354 nt
Filed under: uncultured bacterium
Lineage: Bacteria
Description: partial 16S ribosomal RNA
Rfam family: Bacterial small subunit ribosomal RNA
Source: RNAcentral
GGGGGGGGGCCCCGGCGGGGGGGGUGUUUUAUUUAUAUUCUUGUUUUUUUUUCUUAUUUUUUUUUCUCUUUUUUUUGGUGGGGGGGGAAAAAACCCCCCAAAAAAAAAAUUUUUGGAUUUUUAACCCCUUUAAUGUGUUUUUUUUUUUAGGGGGCUUUUUUUUUUAAAAAUAAAAAAUCCCCGGGGGGGUUAAAGAAAGAGGCAUUGGUUCCUUUUUAGUUAGUUGGGUAAGGGAAAAAGCUUCCCCAGGGUUUCGAUAGGUAGGGGGACCUGAGGAGGGUGACCCCCCCACCACUGGUAAUGAGGACCCCGACCCAGACUCCUACGGGAGGGCAGCAGUGAGGAAUAUUGCGCAUGGANGGAAACUCUGACGCAGCCAUGCCGCGUGCAGGAUGAAUGCCUAUGGGGUUGUAACCUGCUUUUCUGCAAGAAGAAACUUUAGUACGUGUACUAAACUGACGGUAUGCAGGGAAUAAGCACCGGCUAACUCCGUGCCAGCAGCGCGGGUAAUACGGAGGUGCNAAGCGUAUCNNGGAUUUAUUUGGGUUAAAGGUNNNCGCAGGCGGAACUUUAAGUCAGUGGUGAAAGCCUACAGCUUAACUGUAGAACUGCCAUUGAUACUGAAGUUCUUGAGUGUGGUUGAAGUGGGCGGAAUAUGUCAUGUAGCGGUGAAAUGCAUAGAUAUGACAUGGAACACCAAUUGCGAAAGCAGCUCACUAAACCAUUACUGACGCUCAUGGACGAAAGUGUGGGUAGCGAACAGGAUUAGAUACCCUGGUAGUCCACACCGUAAACUAUGAUCACUAGAUGUUGGCGAUAUAAUGUCAGUGUUAAAGAGAAAUCGUUAAGUGAUCCACCUGGGGAGUACGUUCGCAAGAAUGAAACUCAAAAGAAUUGACGGGGGCCCGCACAAGCGGUGGAGCAUGUGGUUUAAUUCGAUGAUACGCGAGGAACCUUACCAAGGCUUAAAUGUAAAACGACCGGUUGAGAAAUCAAUCUUUUUUCGAACGAUUUACAAGGUGCUGCAUGGUUGUCGUCAGCUCGUGCCGUGAGGUGUCGGGUUAAGUCCCAUAACGAGCGCAACCCCUAUUUUUAGUUACCAGCGAGUAAUGUCGGGAACUCUAAAGAAACUGCCCGUGCAAACGGAGAGGAAGGUGGGGAUGACGUCAAAUCAUCACGGCCCUUAUGUCUUGGGCUACACACGUGCUACAAUGGUUAUUACAAUGAGAUGCAAACUGGUGACAGUAAGCUAAUCUAUAAAAAUAACCUCAGUUCGGAUCGGAGUCUGCAACUCGACUCUGUGAAGUUGGAAUCGCUAGUAAUCGCACAUCAGCCAUGUGUCUGUAUUCCCCCC